Non-coding RNA from Vararia minispora EC-137, 85 nucleotides. The record is from the annotation of a GenBank genome assembly. Lineage: Eukaryota; Fungi; Basidiomycota; Agaricomycetes; Russulales; Lachnocladiaceae.
GGUCCUGUAGUGUAGCGGUUAUCACUACGGAUUCUGAUCGCAUGCCGGAGUUCCGUCAACCCAGGUUCGAGUCCUGGCAGGACCU